RNAcentral lists this ribosomal RNA (468 nucleotides) under uncultured bacterium. RNAcentral's name for it is "partial 16S ribosomal RNA". It matches the Rfam family "Bacterial small subunit ribosomal RNA", at positions 28 to 507 of the family's 1533-position model. The record is from RNAcentral.
GACGAACGCUGGCGGCGUGCUUAACACAUGCAAGUCGAACGGAAAGGCCCUGCUUUUGUGGGGUGCUCGAGUGGCGAACGGGUGAGUAACACGUGAGUAACCUGCCCUUGACUUUGGGAUAACUUCAGGAAACUGGGGCUAAUACCGGAUAGGAUCUCCUGCUGCAUGGUGGGGGUUGGAAAGUUUCGGCGGUUGGGGAUGGACUCGCGGCUUAUCAGCUUGUUGGUGGGGUAGUGGCUUACCAAGGCUUUGACGGGUAGCCGGCCUGAGAGGGUGACCGGCGACAUUGGGACUGAGAUACGGACCAGACUCCUACGGGAGGCAGCAGUGGGGAGUAUUGCAGAGUGGGCGGAAGCCUGAGGCAGCAACGCCGCGUGCGGGAUGACGGCCUUCGGGUUGUAAACCGCUUUCGCAUGUGACGAAGCGUGAGUGACGGUAAUGGGUAAAGAAGCAACGGCUAACUACGUG